UGGCUCUAGCCAUCGUGCGCCUUGUCCCUGCCUCGCAAAAAUGGGGAUAAUUCGUAAAAUAUUCCCUAAUCUCUAAUACGUUAUGAGAAGCUGAACCAUUCCCUGCACAAUCUCCUUCGAAAGCUUCUCAUCAAUGGCCAAGACACUGAUUUCGUCUCCAUCGUUCAUCGGCACGCCGCUUCCCUCGCUCCCUCGCCACCGCUUCCCCCACCGCACAAGGCUAGUCGCUACAAAAGUCCACGUCAGCCUCCACCAAUUUCCCCCGAUUCAAUCCAUAAGCCACUCCAUUGACUUCGCCGGAAUCGUCACCAGAGCCGAAGGCCUUCUUUACACGCUCGCCGACGCCGCUGUUGCCGCGGACCCCGCGGCUUCCACCACCACUGCCACCACCGAUGCUGCCGUGCAGAAGAACGGAGGCUGGUUCGGCUUCAUCUCCGAAGGCAUGGAGUUCGUUCUCAAGGUUUUGAAGGAUACACUUUCUGCCGUGCAUGUGCCUUAUUCAUAUGGAUUUGCUAUCAUAUUGCUCACUGUUAUAGUUAAGGCAGCAACGCUUCCCUUGACAAAGCAGCAGGUUGAAUCAACACUGGCUAUGCAAAACCUUCAACCAAAAAUUAAGGCCAUUCAAGAUAGAUAUGCUGGCAAUCAGGAAAGAAUACAACUUGAGACGUCCAGGCUAUAUCGGCAGGCUGGGGUUAACCCAUUGGCAGGUUGUUUUCCAACGUUGGCUACCAUUCCAGUCUGGAUUGGUCUCUACCAAGCUUUAUCAAAUGUGGCAAAUGAGGGACUGUUAACAGAAGGUUUCUUUUGGAUACCAUCUUUGGGUGGUCCUACUACCAUUGCUGCUAGACAAAGUGGAAGUGGCAUUUCUUGGCUUUUUCCAUUUGUGGAUGGGCAUCCACCUUUGGGUUGGCAAGAAACUGUAGCAUAUCUUGUUUUACCUAUUCUUCUUAUUGUUUCUCAAUACGUUUCAAUGGAAAUAAUGAAACCACCUCAGACAGAUCCUUCUCAAAAGAAUUCACUUCUUGUUUUAAAGUUUCUCCCACUCAUGAUUGGCUACUUCUCACUAUCUGUUCCUUCAGGACUAACAAUUUACUGGUUUACAAACAAUGUCCUUAGUACAGCUCAACAAGUAUGGUUGCGCAAAUAUGGAGGUGCAAAGCCUGUUGUGGAUCAAAAUGCUGGUGGAAUUAUUACUGCAGGGCGUGCUAAAAGAACAGGGUCGGAGCCAGCAAGAGGUGGUGAAAGGUUUAAGCAGUUAAAGGAAGAGGAAAAGAAGAAAAAGUUAAGCAAGGCACUACCAGUGGAAGAAGUUCAGCCACUGGCUUCUGCUUCUGAUGAUGGCUCGGAUGUAGAAAGUGACGACAAGGGACAGGAAGUUGAAGAAGAAGCAUAUGCUUCCAAAGUUGGCGAAGAGGUUCAAAAUUAUUCUAGGGAAAGAAGAAGCAAGCGUUCCAAGCGGAAGCGUGCUGUAUAAAGGACCACAUACGGUUGUUGGUAGCUUAUAGUGAGUUUGUAUAAUCUCAAGAGAUUAUACCAUUUUUGGGUUGGCAAUUAAUUAAAUUAUUUUUUCCCCCGGAAACUAGGGAGCGCAAAAAGUUGCAUUACAUAGAGACGGGAAGGCUGCUUACAGCACAGUAGUCCUGCAUAUCAGCCUAUGGAAAUGAUAUUGUUGAACGGAAUCUGCUAAUAGUUGUCCUUAAUGUUAAAAUCUAGUCGAGGGAUGAUGAUGUUUCACUCAUUCAUUGUUAUAAAAUGAAAGAGUGCUCCAAAAUCAGAGUUGAGGCCUAAAAUUAAGGAAGAUAUUUUAGCUUAAAGGUGUUCAAUGUUAAUUAUACUGCCUGUUUUUCAUCAUGUGUAUUGUAGACAGUGUUCAACAAAUUUAACUAGUUGGUUAGUUAAUAAAUCGAGAAUUGCUUGCCUCUUAGAAACGUCAAUGAAAUAAUUUUGUAAAGUACGAAUAUUCCAUUAAGUACCAUUUU
This is a non-coding RNA of Cajanus cajan (pigeon pea), 1979 nucleotides long. The record is from RefSeq and is a predicted model, not a curated record. NCBI's taxonomy places the organism in Eukaryota, Viridiplantae, Streptophyta, Magnoliopsida, Fabales, Fabaceae.